This 264-nucleotide unclassified non-coding RNA is filed under the name Hevea brasiliensis (rubber tree). The record is from RNAcentral. Lineage: Eukaryota; Viridiplantae; Streptophyta; Magnoliopsida; Malpighiales; Euphorbiaceae.
CCCUGCCAUCUAUUGUCUUAUAAGAAGACACACUUAAGUAUGAUGAAAGAUGAAUGGUACCCGAAACCUCAAAAACAAUCCAUAGUGGUUGUCUUCUUCUGCAACCCUCACGGAGCGAUCCAGGACCAUCAUCGGCCAAAGUGGUGACGUAAUAGAGCGGACCAUGGAGGCCACCAAUGGCGAAACGGCCGAAUCCCUCUGCACGGCCGGCAAUGGAUCGGAGGCUGAAGUCGACGUCGGCGUACGGCAGCGAGGUCAUGUUCG